Molecule: ribosomal RNA, 170 nt
Filed under: uncultured bacterium
Lineage: Bacteria
Description: partial 16S ribosomal RNA
Rfam family: Bacterial small subunit ribosomal RNA
Source: RNAcentral
CCUACGGGAGGCAGCAGUGGGGAAUCUUGGGCAAUGGGGGAAACCCUGAUGCAGCCACGCCGCGUGAGUGAUGACGGCUUUAGGGUUGUAAACCUCUUUCACCGGUGACGAAAAUGACGGUAAUCGCGUGAAGAAGGCCCGGCCAACUCCGUGCCAGCAGCCGCGGUAAU